Molecule: small nuclear RNA, 107 nt
Organism: Suncus etruscus (white-toothed pygmy shrew)
Lineage: Eukaryota; Metazoa; Chordata; Mammalia; Eulipotyphla; Soricidae
Source: RefSeq, a predicted model, not a curated record
GGGCUUGCUUCGGCAGCACAUAGACUAAAAUUGGAACGAUACAGAGAAGAUUAGCAUGGGCCCUGUGCAAGGAUGACACGCAGACUGAUGAUAAUCAAAUAACUAUU